This 438-nucleotide ribosomal RNA is filed under the name uncultured bacterium. RNAcentral describes it as "partial 16S ribosomal RNA". It matches the Rfam family "Bacterial small subunit ribosomal RNA", at positions 339 to 795 of the family's 1533-position model. The record is from RNAcentral.
CUACGGGCGGCACCAGUGGGGAAUAUUGCACAAUGGAGGAAACUCUGAUGCAGCAACGCCGCGUGGAGGAUGACACUUUUCGGAGCGUAAACUCCUUUUAUAUAGGAAGAAGAUGACGGUACUAUAUGAAUAAGCGCCGGCUAACUCCGUGCCAGCAGCCGCGGUAAUACGGAGGGCGCAGGCGUUACUCGGAAUCACUGGGCGUAAAGAGCGUGUAGGCGGAUUAAAAAGUCAGAAGUGAAAUCCUAUAGCUUAACUAUAGAACUGCUUCUGAAACUCUUAAUCUAGAAUAUGGGAGAGGUAGAUGGAAUUUCUAGUGUAGGGGUAAAAUCCGUAGAGAUCAGAAGGAAUACCGAUUGCGAAGGCGAUCUACUAGAACAUUAUUGACGCUGAGACGCGAAAGCGUGGGGAGCAAACAGGAUUAGAACCCCUGUAGUC